AGUUUUGUGAUUAAAACCAGUUACAUUUUUGUUGUCAUAGAGUAUAAAAUGGGUAAAAAUUUGUAGACAUCAAAUGAGGAUAUUGUGGUUGAACUUAAAGUAAAUUUAAGAUGCUGCAAUGUUUAGGAUGCAAGGCUUUCUGAUGCACUAAUUUGAAAUUAAUUACUAGUGCACCCAACCUUUCAGUGAUGUUUUGGGUUUUUGUUUUCUUA
This 212-nucleotide long non-coding RNA is filed under the name Bos taurus (domestic cattle). RNAcentral describes it as "long non-coding RNA NONBTAT022503". Lineage: Eukaryota; Metazoa; Chordata; Mammalia; Artiodactyla; Bovidae. The record is from RNAcentral.